This 630-nucleotide long non-coding RNA is filed under the name Pan troglodytes (chimpanzee). RNAcentral's name for it is "lincRNA". Lineage: Eukaryota; Metazoa; Chordata; Mammalia; Primates; Hominidae. The record is from RNAcentral.
AGUGGGACCUGGACAUUGUGGCCUGGUCAGCGGGGGUCUGAUCAGUGGGAACCUGGACAUUGUGGCCUGGUCAGCUGAGGCCUGGUCAGUGGGUACCUCAACCUUAUGGCUUGAUCAACAGGGGCCUUGUCAGUGGGACCUGGACAUUGUGGCCUGCUCAGCGGGACCUGAUCAGUGGGACCUGGACAUUGUGGCCUGCUCAGCGGGGCCUGAUCAGUGGGACCUGGACAUUGUGGCCUGCUCAGCGGUGCCUGAUCAGUAGGACCUGGACAUUGUGGCCUGGUCAGCGGGGGCCUGGUCAGUGGGACCUGAACAUUGUGGUCUGACCCAGGCCCAGGGGAUGCCCAAUGCUGUGAGGAGGCUCAGACAGCAGGAAGGAGAGAAGGAAGGAAGGAACUUCCAUAGUGCUGAUGCCUACAAAAUUACAACACGUGGUGCUGUUUCUACUCCAUCGCCAUGUUCGCUCUUUAUUUCCUAUGUAAUUCUCUAUUCAACCGGCCUCAGUUGAGCACAAAACCAUCCUUGUACCACCAUGAAUAGUUGGCCAUGGCUCUUUGAUAGCAGUUUUUAUUCUGCCGUAGAAAUUAUCCUUGAACCAGAAAAAAAAAAUCCGCAAUUCAACACUCCACC